RNAcentral lists this long non-coding RNA (404 nucleotides) under Mytilus galloprovincialis (Mediterranean mussel). The record is from RNAcentral. Lineage: Eukaryota; Metazoa; Mollusca; Bivalvia; Mytilida; Mytilidae.
UUUUUUCUCGCGCAAAAGUUAAUAUUCAAUUUGUUUCGAUGGUACCAAUUCAAUAUUUAACACUAAUGAAUGGGGAAACUUUGGAUUCAGACUAUUUUUUCAUUCUAAUCAUCUGUAUGACCCGAUUUUUUUUCAAUCAAAUUGUGGAAAAAUGCAUCCCCCCUUUUUUUUAAAAGUCAAAUGGUCGUUCCCUUACUGCUACAAAAGUUGUUCGAAAAUUUGAGUUCGGUUCUACGUAAUGAACAUUUAAAUGACAUAUAGUUUACAAGUGUGAACACAUCUUAUGUACAGGUAACUAAACAAGGUGUAUAGAUGUGGACAAAUCUUAUGUGAAACUAGUGUAGAUUACACUAAACCAAAUGUAAACAUGUUUACUGUACACGGCGUUUGGUGUGAACACGGCC